This 429-nucleotide ribosomal RNA is filed under the name Bacteroidota bacterium. RNAcentral's name for it is "Bacteroidetes bacterium partial 16S ribosomal RNA". It matches the Rfam family "Bacterial small subunit ribosomal RNA", at positions 355 to 776 of the family's 1533-position model. Lineage: Bacteria; Pseudomonadati; Bacteroidota. The record is from RNAcentral.
UAGGGAAUCUUCGGCAAUGGGGGGAACCCUGACCGAGCAACGCCGCGUGAGUGAAGAAGGUUUCCGGAUCGUAAAGCUCUGUUGUUAAGGAAGAACGAGUGUGAGAAUGGAAAGUUCAUGCUGUGACGGUACUUAACCAGAAAGGGACGGCUAACUACGUGCCAGCAGCCGCGGUAAUACGUAGGUCCCGAGCGUUGUCCGGAUUUAUUGGGCGUAAAGCGAGCGCAGGCGGUUAGAAAAGUCUGAAGUGAAAGGCAGUGGCUCAACCAUUGUAGGCUUUGGAAACUGUUUAACUGGAGUGCAGAAGGGGAGAGUGGAAUUCCAUGUGUAGCGGUGAAAUGCGUAGAUAUAUGGAGGAACACCGGUGGCGGAAGCGGCUCUCUGGUCUGUAACUGACGCUGAGGCUCGAAAGCGUGGGGAGCGAACAGG